This 432-nucleotide unclassified non-coding RNA is filed under the name soil metagenome. RNAcentral's name for it is "partial contains 5.8S ribosomal RNA, internal transcribed spacer 2, and large subunit ribosomal RNA". The stretch from base 1 to 120 matches the Rfam family "5.8S ribosomal RNA", at positions 35 to 154 of the family's 154-position model. The record is from RNAcentral.
GAUGAAGAACGUAGCGAAAUGCGAUACGUAAUGUGAAUUGCAGAAUUCAGUGAAUCAUCGAAUCUUUGAACGCAUAUUGCGCUCUCUGGUAUUCCGGAGAGCAUGCUUGUUUGAGUAUCAGUAAACACCUCAACUUCCAUAUCUUUUUUGAAAUGGGAGUUGGACUUGAGUGAUCCCAACGCUUUUCCUCACCGAAAAGUGGCGGGUUACUUGAAAUGCAGGUGCAGCUGGACUUUUCUCUGAGCUAUAAGCAUAUCUAUUUAGUCUGCCUAAAAACAGAUUAUUACCUUUGAUGCAGCUAACAUAAAGGAGAUUAGUUCUUGUGCUGACUGAUGCAGGAUUCACAAAGACAGGCUUCGGCCGACUUUGUAAACUCGAUCUCAAAUCAAGUAAGACUACCCGCUGAACUUAAGCAUAUCAAUAAGCGGAGGA